GCGAGUUCUAUCGGGUAAAGC
Molecule: small nuclear RNA, 21 nt
Filed under: Arabidopsis thaliana (thale cress)
Lineage: Eukaryota; Viridiplantae; Streptophyta; Magnoliopsida; Brassicales; Brassicaceae
Description: snRNA_09758
Source: RNAcentral